This 516-nucleotide ribosomal RNA is filed under the name uncultured eukaryote. RNAcentral describes it as "SSU rRNA". It matches the Rfam family "Eukaryotic small subunit ribosomal RNA", at positions 25 to 548 of the family's 1831-position model. The record is from RNAcentral.
AGCAUAUGCUUGUCUCAAAGACUAAGCCAUGCAUGUCUAAGUAUAAAUGAUAUACAGUGAAACUGCGAAUGGCUCAUUAAAACAGUUAUAGUUUAUUUGGUAAUCGAAUUUACAUGGAUAACCGUGGUAAUUCUAGAGCUAAUACAUGCUGUAAAGUCCGACUUCACGGAAGGGCCGUAUUUAUUAGAUAACAGACCAAUAUUCCUCGUGUCUAUUGUGGUGAAUCAUAGUAACUAAUCGGAUCGCAUGGGCUAGUCCCGCGACAAACCAUUCAAGUUUCUGCCCCAUCAGCUUUCGAUGGUAGUGUAUUGGACUACCAUGGCUUUUACGGGUAACGGAGGAUUAGGGUUCGAUUCCGGAGAGGGAGCCUGAGAAACGGCUACCACAUCUAAGGAAGGCAGCAGGCGCGUAAAUUACCCAAUCCUAAUUCAGGGAGGUAGUGACAAGAAAUAACGGGUCGGGGCUAUGCCCCGGGACUGCAAUGAGAUGAAUUUACACCCCUUUUCGAGUAACAAU